This 475-nucleotide ribosomal RNA is filed under the name Streptococcus parasanguinis. RNAcentral describes it as "bacterial SSU rRNA". It matches the Rfam family "Bacterial small subunit ribosomal RNA", at positions 28 to 487 of the family's 1533-position model. Lineage: Bacteria; Bacillati; Bacillota; Bacilli; Lactobacillales; Streptococcaceae. The record is from RNAcentral.
GAUGAACGCUGGCGGCGUGCCUAAUACAUGCAAGUAGAACGCUGAAGCUUGGUGCUUGCAUCGAGCGGAUGAGUUGCGAACGGGUGAGUAACGCGUAGGUAACCUGCCUCUUAGCGGGGGAUAACUAUUGGAAACGAUAGCUAAUACCGCAUAAAAGUCGAUAUCGCAUGAUAUUGAUUUGAAAGGUGCAAUUGCAUCACUAAGAGAUGGACCUGCGUUGUAUUAGCUAGUUGGUGAGGUAACGGCUCACCAAGGCAACGAUACAUAGCCGACCUGAGAGGGUGAUCGGCCACACUGGGACUGAGACACGGCCCAGACUCCUACGGGAGGCAGCAGUAGGGAAUCUUCGGCAAUGGGGGCAACCCUGACCGAGCAACGCCGCGUGAGUGAAGAAGGUUUUCGGAUCGUAAAGCUCUGUUGUAAGAGAAGAACGAGUGUGAGAGUGGAAAGUUCACACUGUGACGGAACUACCAGA